This 317-nucleotide ribosomal RNA is filed under the name uncultured bacterium. RNAcentral's name for it is "bacterial SSU rRNA". It matches the Rfam family "Bacterial small subunit ribosomal RNA", at positions 37 to 334 of the family's 1533-position model. The record is from RNAcentral.
GAUCGAACGGCGUAGCUACAGGCUUAACACAUGCAAGUCGAGGGGCAGCGGGAGGAUGCUUGCAUUCUCUGCCGGCGACCGGCGCACGGGUGAGUAACGCGUACCGAACCUGCCUCAUACUCGGGAAUAGCCUUGCGAAAGUAAGAUUAAUGCCCGGUGUUCCGCGAGGGCCGCAUGGCCUUUUCGGCAAAGUUUUUUACGGAUGAGAUGGCGGUGCGUCCCAUUAGCUUGUUGGCGGGGUAACGGCCCACCAAGGCGACGAUGGGUAGGGGUUCUGAGAGGAAGGUCCCCCACAUUGGAACUGAGACACGGUCCAA